GGCUGAAUUUUGAUUCACUGUUAAAUAAUAUUCUCAAUGUUGAUUGUAUUUUUAAACGAAUCUGCAAAUCUACUAUCACAUUUCACAGAACCACACAUUUAGCCCUAUACACGAUUAUACCAACAGAAAGAGAGAAUGUUGAAACCAAGAAGUCUUGGGCAUGUGACUUGGAUUCUGGGAAUGCAGCGCAACUGAGGCUAAGAGCCGAUGGCCCAUGAGUUGAGGUUGACUGAGAAGGCAUGGAGGGGUUUCAUCGAUUACGUAUGAGUUGAGCAUGUUAGACGCGUACAAAUAGCAAUGCUAUGUAAUAUGAGAUACUUGUUUAUCCCGAAUAAGUUGCCAACCACUGAAUUUGAGAGUUUUUAUCGCAUAACACUGACAUUCCUGUCUUAGCACACCCUUAAAACCAUUUUGACAACCACACGCCUAAAAACCUCUUGCAAUUGACAUAUAACCAACUGCCCAAAGACAAAGUCCCAAGAUUGGAAAAUGAACUCUUUCUACAACGUGAUUGCGGAUACGUUCAUGAUCAAGAAAACCUUCCAGAAGAAAAGAUAAUGCUUGUAUAAUCAUCAUCCUAAGACAAGAAACACAAUCCAUACACACACAAGGCAUCUGUUGGACUGCACGUUACCAGAAUAAAAACCAUAAGACAUCAUCCUACCAAUUUUUCAAAUACUGUUACUCCCUACCAUCAUUCGAGGACUUUUUGGUAACAAUGUUAUUGAAAGACCUGGCAUAUGUGCAACGGCUGGUGGAGGAAGAGGAGUAGAACUUGUUCCUGGUGGAGUGGGUUUGCUAUCCCAGGAGCACUUAAUUGGGUUGCCACAUAGAAUACGAGCA
Molecule: unclassified non-coding RNA, 843 nt
Filed under: Hevea brasiliensis (rubber tree)
Lineage: Eukaryota; Viridiplantae; Streptophyta; Magnoliopsida; Malpighiales; Euphorbiaceae
Source: RNAcentral